Molecule: small nucleolar RNA, 139 nt
Organism: Myotis lucifugus (little brown bat)
Lineage: Eukaryota; Metazoa; Chordata; Mammalia; Chiroptera; Vespertilionidae
Product: small Cajal body-specific RNA 17
Source: Ensembl
UCCCCGGGUCCCCAAUGCAGCCCCGGAUGAGCCUGCAGUAUUUUCCUUAUAUGAUUGGGCCCCACGGCUGGCGGCGGCGCUUGCCCGGAGCCUAAGAGGAUUAUAAAGGGUCCGGCGAAGUGGGGCCGGGGGCCCGGGG